Molecule: ribosomal RNA, 678 nt
Filed under: uncultured Bacteroidota bacterium
Lineage: Bacteria; Pseudomonadati; Bacteroidota
Description: bacterial SSU rRNA
Rfam family: Bacterial small subunit ribosomal RNA
Source: RNAcentral
AGAGUUUGAUCCUGGCUCAGGAUGAACGCUAGCGGCAGGCUUAAUACAUGCAAGUCGUGGGGCAGCGCAGUGUAGCAAUACAUGGGCGGCGACCGGCAAACGGGUGCGGAACACGUACGCAACCUUCCUUCAAAUGGGGGAUAGCCCGGGGAAACCCGGAUUAAUACCCCGUAAUAUUGCGGUGAGGCAUCUCAUUACAUUUAUAGCUCCGGCGUUUGAAGAUGGGCGUGCGCCUGAUUAGGUAGUUGGCGGGGUAACGGCCCACCAAGCCUACGAUCAGUAACUGGUGUGAGAGCACGACCAGUCACACGGGCACUGAGACACGGGCCCGACUCCUACGGGAGGCAGCAGUAAGGAAUAUUGGGCAAUGGACGCAAGUCUGACCCAGCCAUGCCGCGUGGAGGAUGAAGGUCCUCUGGAUUGUAAACUUCUUUUAUUUGGGAAGAAACCCGGAUUUUCUAAUUCGGUUGACGGUACCAGAUGAAUAAGCACCGGCUAACUCCGUGCCAGCAGCCGCGGUAAUACGGAGGGUGCAAGCGUUAUCCGGAUUCACUGGGUUUAAAGGGUGCGUAGGCGGGCAGGUAAGUCAGUGGUGAAAUCUCCGGGCUUAACCCGGAAACUGCCGUUGAUACUAUCUGUCUUGAAUAUCGUGGAGGUAAGCGGAAUAUGUCAUGUAGC